UUAAGUUCAGCGGGUAUUCCUACCUGAUCCGAGGUCAACCUUAGAAAAAAGGGGGUUUCCCUAUAAAAGGGAGAAGACCGGGUCCUGGGUUCCCUUGAUCCGAUACGUGCUCAAUGAAGAAGCUCAAUGUACCGGGGGUUCCAACAGGCCGCCGUCAUUGUCUUUAGGAGGGGUGACCGCCCGGAGGCUUCCACCAGACC
Molecule: unclassified non-coding RNA, 200 nt
Filed under: Capronia sp.
Lineage: Eukaryota; Fungi; Ascomycota; Eurotiomycetes; Chaetothyriales; Herpotrichiellaceae
Description: partial internal transcribed spacer 2
Source: RNAcentral